UAAGAGGCACGGCCGGUAUCGAAUGAGCUCUUCCUGUCUCCGAACUGUAAGGGCCGUACGCCCAGUCCCACUACAACGACCGAAAGUCUCCGAACUGUGUCAUUUGAAAAUCGUAGUCUUGUGUGUUUAGUCUAAUUAUUAAUACUAAGAUGGAUACCGUUAUGCCUGAAAUUUUCUUCAAGGCCUUCAUCCAAAGACUUAGUUUUGUUCUCAAGAUCUUCAAACAAUAAGUUUAUUACCAAUAUUUUGAUGCUCGUUUAUAGAUGACUUUUCUCUUGAUUUAAAAAUCCAAGAAGCUACCGUGAUUUCCUUGAAAUUGAUGUUUGAUACUCUACCACACGAAGUAACUAAUGCUAGUUUGAAAGAAUAUACCUAGCAGCAGAAUACUGAUUAUGACUUUACAGCUUGAUACUCUACUACAGAUAGUUAAUAAUGCUAGAUUAAAAGCGGCAGAAUACUGAUUAUGACUUUAAGGUUUAUAGAUGGGCUUUGUACUGGACACUUCAACGGACACUGUACUGGACACUUUAACACUUUGCCAAGAGCUCCAUUUCUGACCUAUUUUCCAUGAGAAACAUUUGUGCCAAGAUGUCCUCAAUUACUAACACAGUUGCCAAGAUAACCAUGUGUGCAAGGAUUACUGACCUAGUUGCCAAGAUGAUCCCAAUAAAUGACCUAGUUGCCAUGAGGACCAUGUGUGGCAAGAUGACUUACUUAAGUUGCCUAGUUGUCAUGACCCAACUGUAGAGUUAAACCAACUUUAUUUCUUCAACUCAAGGUUUAUUUUUAUGUUCUUCUCUAAUAUGAAAAUUCCACACUUGUAUUUUAUGAAUAUUGUAAUUUAUUUUUUCUCCUAAAAAUUAAGCUACAUACUUUUUAAUGGAACUUAAGAAAUCUAAAUCCAUAUUUUGAAAUACCUUGCAUGCAAUUUAAGAGUACUCAGUAUUAAAGUAAAUUUAUUUCUAAGAUUUUCUUAAAUACGAAAAAUAAUUAAUCAUAUUAAUCUAAAGUUUAUUCUAUUCAACAUUUUAUUCAUGGAUUAUUUUAAUAGUCAAUUAUUUAUUCAUUAAAUAUCAUAAAUUAAAUUUAAAGUCUUAGAGAACGUGCAUCUAAUUUGCGUACACUAAGUACUUAUUGAUCCUGCUUAGUGUUUGUACGUACAAUUGCGUGUCAAAACGUUUUAAGAAAAGCUUAUUGUUAGCUACUGCUCUUUAUAAAUUAUGACUUAAUGUCUUAAAAAUAAACCUAGAAUAUUUAUGAGAAUUAACUUUCAACGAAUGAAAACUAAUUUCGAUUUAUUGGUGCUUUGUCUUCAAACUGUUGUCCAGUACAAGAGCUAAAAUGUGAAGUUGUAAUAUUAAAAAAUUGAUUGUUUGAGAGUGCCAGUUUAAAUUUGAAAUGAAAAUUAAAUUACGGGAAUUAAACUAAAGUACUUGGCGUUCGAUUUUCAAACAAAACAUAUUUAAAUUAAAAAAGCUUAAUAUAAAAUUUUAUUAUGGUAUACUACUAAUUAAAUAUUCUUUUUCAAUAAAUCUCCACCAAAUUUUCAGAUGCGUGAUUGUUAUCGCAAUAUUUGAGAAUCAGUUGAAGUAAAUUUGCUAGUUUCAAAAUGAUAUCUACGAUUUUAAAUACACGCAAUAUAAGAGUUUAGGUCAAACUUUAGAUAAAAUUAUAUGGUAAUAUAUUACAUGGUUAUAAAAUUUAUAUCGAAUCUAUAAGUGAUCGCUCAACUUCGUCGGCUAUUAAAAUAUACUAAAUAAACUCUUAAACUUAUAUCAAUGUAAAUUUCAAGAGUACAAGGAAAAACCGAAAUAGUUUAUUAAAUACACAAUCUUUAAAAUUAGAAAGCUGAAAAGUAUUUGAGGUAUCGAGAUGCUUGUAAACCAAAGAACUAAAGCAUUCAAUAUCGCAUAUUUAGGUUUACCUAAAUAAAGCGCAUUGUAUUAAUAAAAUACUUUUUAAUAAAUCCCGCCUCGUCAGCAAUGUACUGUUAUAAAGUACAAAUUUUAAUACUUGAGGUAACACAUUCUGUUCCAAAUAUAUAAAAAAAUUAUCUGACAAUUCAGAAUCUGUUUGUAAGUACCGCUUACAUUAUUUAAAACCCUUAAAGCUUAAGACUAGCAAUUACGUGUCAUAGCACUACAUUUUAACAUUUCUUUUCGCCUUAUAGUGAGCCUUAAUAAAAACAGUAAAUGGUGUAUAUUUAACAUGUUAAUACUUCACACUUUAGUCUGUCGUCGUAUUUUUAUGUACGUAUUUAUAAAUAUAAAUUCCUCUACACAAAGAAAUUUGUCAAGCAUUUAUGUAGUAUAUAUGGGCAAUAACAAUUAUACGUAUUCUAUUAAAUUAAAAAAUUAAUCUCUAUAUCAAAAGUCCAAGAACAAAAUUGUUAAAAAUUUAAAAAUAAAAACUAAACAAUCAAGUUAUUGUUCAGAAGUAUACGUUUAGGCAAAAAAUUUUCGUAUUUUGUCAC
Parasteatoda tepidariorum (common house spider) is the source of this 2473-nucleotide long non-coding RNA. The record is from RefSeq and is a predicted model, not a curated record. NCBI's taxonomy places the organism in Eukaryota, Metazoa, Arthropoda, Arachnida, Araneae, Theridiidae.